This 337-nucleotide unclassified non-coding RNA is filed under the name soil metagenome. RNAcentral's name for it is "partial contains 5.8S ribosomal RNA, internal transcribed spacer 2, and large subunit ribosomal RNA". The stretch from base 1 to 120 matches the Rfam family "5.8S ribosomal RNA", at positions 35 to 154 of the family's 154-position model. The record is from RNAcentral.
GAUGAAGAACGUAGCGAAAUGCGAUAAGUAAUGUGAAUUGCAGAAUUCCGUGAAUCAUCGAAUCUUUGAACGCACAUUGCGCCCCUUGGUAUUCCGAGGGGCAUGCCUGUUCGAGCGUCAUUACACCACUCAAGCUAUGCUUGGUAUUGGGCGUCGUCCUUAGUUGGGCGCGCCUUAAAGACCUCGGCGAGGCCACUCCGGCUUUAGGCGUAGUAGAAUUUAUUCGAACGUCUGUCAAAGGAGAGGAACUCUGCCGACUGAAACCUUUAUUUUUCUAGGUUGACCUCGGAUCAGGUAGGGAUACCCGCUGAACUUAAGCAUAUCAAUAAGCGGAGGA